AACUAUAUAGUCUAAGUAGGAUAAUAAAUUGCAAGUUUAAAGGUAAAUUAAUUUUAUAGUUU
RNAcentral lists this transfer RNA (62 nucleotides) under Curculionoidea sp. 27 KM-2017. RNAcentral's name for it is "tRNA-Cys". The record is from RNAcentral. Lineage: Eukaryota; Metazoa; Arthropoda; Insecta; Coleoptera.